Brassica rapa (field mustard) is the source of this 4240-nucleotide RNA transcript. It is a transcript of the gene named protein GAMETOPHYTE DEFECTIVE 1, with no coding region annotated. The record is from RefSeq and is a predicted model, not a curated record. NCBI's taxonomy places the organism in Eukaryota, Viridiplantae, Streptophyta, Magnoliopsida, Brassicales, Brassicaceae.
AGCACACGUAGGAUUUGACUUUACGUUUAGUCGUCCCGAUCCGACUAGUACAUUGUUCUUAAUGGCCCAUAGAUAAUGUAUUGGGCUCAAAACUGUUCGUUUUAUAAUGCCCAAAAUAAUUGCUUAUUAACGAUUUAUCUAUACGUCGUCGUUUCACAAAUCGUUUCCCAUCAUCGUCGGCGAAGCACUAAAACCCCCCAUUGCUUAAACCCUAAUCGGAAACUCUAUCUCCGCCGUCACUCAUGGCGUUCUUCGACCUAAGCAUCCCCUACAGCUACCCAUCACCAUCAGGCGGGAAAGAACUCAUCGUCCCACACAAACUCCGCGUAAAGCUCGCCACGAAAGCCAUGGAGCUCGGCUACGUCGGAAUCGCGCACAGCCACUCGAUCGAAGGCGCAAUGUCGGAGAAAGACUCCUGCACGAUCCCUCUCCUCACCCUCGGAUCUCUCGUCAAGGCCGCUCCGCGACUAGCUUCCUCCGUCGCGUUCCACCGCGGCUUACUCAACGUCCCUCGAUCCACUCCGUUUCGGCAGUACACGCGCGUCACCGUGAUACUCGAGAGCAAGGCUCAGUGUCUGGCGUUGAACUCAGGGAAUCCUGUUUUGAAGAGCUACGAUAUCGUUGCGGUUAGGCCGAUGAAUCAGUACGCGUUCGAUCAGGCUUGUGCGAAAGCUGAGGUUGAUGUUAUCUCGAUUGAUUUCUCGAAUUUGCAGUUUCGGUUGAUGCAUCCAACGGUUAAAGCUGCUGUUAAGCGUGGGGUUUACUUUGAGAUCAAGUACUCUCUUCUCUUGAGCGAUGCUGAGAAGAGGAGACAAGUUAUAUCCAAUGCUAAGUUACUGGUGGAUUGGACUAAGGGGAAGAAUCUGAUUAUAUCGAGUGGUUCUCCUUCAGUCACGGAACUUAGAGGUCCUAACGAUGUUAUUAAUCUCAUGUCAUUGCUUGGACUCUCUAGUGAGAGAGCCAGAGCUGCAAUUUCAGUUAACUGUAGGAAUAUGAUAGCCAAGGUUUUGAAGAAGAAGCGGUUUCACAAAGAAGCUGUCAAGGUUGAGUUGCUUUCUUCAAGUGAAACGUUUAGCCUUGAACAGCCUCUGUCUGGAGAUUGUAUGAAAUGGGAUCCUCUUUCGAGCGGCGAAGGUGACUUGCUUUUGGAAGAUCUCGCAAAGGCUUUUGAAGCCACCACACGUCCUCCUGUGGCGCAUAAAGCGUUUGAUUUCACUUCUGAUCGUAAUGGCUUGCCGUCACGUGGUUUCCGGAUCGGUAAUAUUCUAGGAACUGAGCCUUUGACUCAGUCACCUGCGGCUAAGAUUAUUGACGGACCAGUUCUCUGUAAGAAUCAAGUUUCUGAAGUGUGUAUGGCUGAUUCAGUUUCAUCUGUUGAUAAUCUCGGGGAAAACGAAACCAUUAGCCAAAUUGACAUGCUGGUUUCUGAAGAUGACAACAAAGUGGAACCUACAACGAAUGUCCCACUGUCUAGCCAGGGACGGGGAGUUUUGGUGCAAGAUGAAGCAGCUGCAUUAUUUUCAUUGAUAAGAUGUACAGAGUCAGAUGCAGCUUCUGAUGUUAACAUGCAGACUGAGUUGGAUUCUGAAGAUAAAUCAAUGUCGCUAUCAAAAAGUGAUCACGGGAUCCAACAAAGUCAUGUUGAAAAUUUAAACAUGGAAACUAUUGGUGUUGAUGAUGAAUUCCCAGUGGACGGAGCCAACAAAGAAGGAGCUGGUUUUUGUCAUGCUAAUAUUGAGCAACCUACAUCCUCUGGUGUUGAUGAGAUGAAAAUCGAUGGUUCUUUGGAAGCGAAUCACAACGAGUACAUGGAGGUGACAGUGGAAGACGUGACGCAUGAAACAGUCCAGAGGCGGUUGGACAAGACCAUGACCAAUUAUCAAGGUUAGAGUUCAGUGAGACAGAGCUUGGGGAAGAGCCAUCGGUUCAAUACGAUAUAACCAUGGAAGACAAGAAGGAAACCGAAACUAAUCAACAAGCCCAUGUCAAGUACAAUGCCAGAAACUCAGGUAAGGCACGAGCUAAGAGGAGUUGGGUUAGAUUAACGAUACUACAACCUUUGAAGCCUUUUCUACUACAACGUUUCAAACGAAUUAGUAAAAGAAGAAAACAUAUAAGAGCUUGAUGAUUCUUAAACGAUAGAGAAGUUUUGUUCACUGAUUUACACCCACGCAAGUCUCGUGGUAUUAUUAUUGAACCGAUCAUCAAAGUGGGGGAAGAGAAAUUAUAAUUUAUUCUUUAAAGUUUAGAGUUGGUUUCUUCGUAUACUCGUGUUCAAGAAAAAAACACUAUUAACUAAAAUACUAAAAAGAAAAAAAAGGUGAGAAAAAAAUGCUAAGAGUGGAGAGUCGGUAAAUCCACCGCCGGCCGACAAAAGUCGAAUACACGGUCGCCGGAGGGCCUACAUCUCCCUCCUUAGCCUUUGUUAAAGAGCUACUUUGUUUAAACUGAAACAUCCCAAAUUGUGUAAUAAAUAAGACAAUUGAUGUUAGGUUGAUUACUUUGGUUUAGUUUAUACGAGUGGAACCUUCUUUGGUUUCUUAAGGAUGAAUAAGGUAUUAAAUGUAUGCUUGCUUUUGGAGAUUGCUAGUACUUUGUAGCACGAUGAGUAAUCAACGUGAGAGUAAUGAAAUCAUCAAAGUAACAUGACCAUGUUCAUUACAUGAUUUCGAUGCUAAAAGUCAUCAACUUUUUACUUUCUGAUUAUUUUUGUAAAUCAAGUUGGGAAAAGAAAAUUUGAACCGUUAAGGAACAUAAUAAACUACGAAUAAACUAUUUACGAGCCCAUACGUGUUAAUGAUAUGGAAUGAAUAAUUUGUUUCAGUAGGGAACAAACUGGAGUUCUACAUAACUCAUAACACGCAGAUUACUAAAUUUAAAUAUAAAACAUAACGAGGGUGAUUGGUUGGAGUAGAAACUUUACCAUAAAAUUUAUGUUGUAGAAUUUUUUUAUUUAGUUGUAAGCGACGUAGCUUUAAAAUUGAUUUUUUACAGCCAAAAAAAUGAGGCUUUAGAAAAUAAAGUUUUUAUAACUAUUUUUCAUUUUUUUUUGUAGCUUUAAAAAUAAGAUAAAGCAUGACUGGUGAUUUAAAGACUGUAAAUUAAUAUUAAAGUUAAAGUCAGCUUAUACAGUUCAAAAUAUAACAUAAAUAUUAAUAGAUAUAAAAAAUUGUAAACUGGUUUUGUUAUUCUGCAAAAUAAUUUUUGAAAUAUCUUAAUUUGGUGUAAAAAUACUACACAAAUUUAUACCAGUUUAGUUAUAAUACAAAUCGGACAAAGGGCUAAUUCUAUUUCUUUUCCAAAAAGUUUUAUACUAGUUAUAUUUUAAUAUAAGUGAUAAGCGAUGCUUAAAAAAAUCACAUUCGUUAUUAGAUAAAACCUGUCAUAAUUCAUCACACUAUCAUUUUCAGGUAUUAAUAUACGAUCUUAUAGCCAGAGGUUUUGCUUUAAAUAUCUAUACUAUUAAAAGAAGAAUACAAAAAAAAAUAGUCCUAAAUUUUCCUUAAUAAUUAUAAUCUUAUGCCACUGAAUUAUUAAUGGUCUUUUGGUCAUUUAACACAAUGAAAUAUCCAAGUUUAAUUAUACUCAACCAUUAAUGCUGAUAAACCGGAUUGCAAUGGCUUCUCUCUUCCCUCCUCAAUGAAAAAUCUCUUCUUAUUUUCAUAUAUUAACAUCGGAUUUCAUUUCCGAUUAAUGUUUUCUUCUGUUUUUUUAUUUGUUUUUUCUCUUUGAAAUUAGAUUUUCUUUCGAUCUCUUGAAAAAUCUCUCAAAAAGAUCGAUCUUUUGUUUUUAUUUUGAUUAAAAGAAUCUUCCGAUUUGAAACAUAGUUCUAAGUCUCUAUGCCAAUCUAUCAAAGAGGUGUUUAGUUUAAUCAGACGACGUCUCUCUAGCGGGGGAGUAAAGUCACCUUCACUUAGGCAUCAUGUCUUCUUGAUUAGUAUGGGUUAUUGGUGGAUCAUUUUAAUUGGUUCGUUGGGAGUAAGUUUCCUUUUAGUAGUUAAUAAUUAAACUGAUUUAUGUUUUAGGUUUUGGUUUAGAUCGAUAGAGGAUGUUGAAGAGAUUUAGAAAGCCUGGCCAAGAUGACGAUAUACGACAAUGGUUUUUUUUCCGGUGAUGAAGUGCGACAGAGAAAAGUUAGAGAGGUGUACCACUAAUCAUGAACUGCUUAACCAAAAUUGAAAUGGUUAUGUUUAUUUCAUUUGCAAUUUUUAUUUUGGGUCAUUCGGCUUAUGUUUAAUUU